This 433-nucleotide RNase P RNA is filed under the name bacterium. RNAcentral describes it as "RNase P RNA component class A". It matches the Rfam family "Bacterial RNase P class A". From Rfam's summary of the family: Ribonuclease P (RNase P) is a ubiquitous endoribonuclease, found in archaea, bacteria and eukarya as well as chloroplasts and mitochondria. Its best characterised activity is the generation of mature 5'-ends of tRNAs by cleaving the 5'-leader elements of precursor-tRNAs. The record is from RNAcentral.
GAAGCCAAUUGACGCUUCGCACUGGUAUAAAGUUAGUGCGGGGAGGAAAGUCCGGACACUAAUUCCGAAUUAUUCGGGAUUAUGGAUAAUGGAUAACUUCCAUCCAAUACAUUGCGAGAUGUAUUGCGGGAAAGUGCCACAGAGACAAUACUAUCCCGUCGCUCGCGAGCGACGGGAGAAAGGUGAAAAGUAUAUUGAUGUUUAAAGCGUUUUUCACUAUAUCAGCUGAUUAGUGAAAUUUUUUAAGCUACAGUAUUCCGUCCCGCUUAGGCGGGAUUGGCGGCAAACCCUAUCUGGUGCAAGGCCGUAUGUCGUCCCGCUUAGCGGGAUGGCAGGUGCCGCUUACGAUCCCGGCGGUAACGUCGGGGCUAGAUAAAUGAUUGCCUCCCGCCUUUGGCGGGAACAGAAUCCGGCUUACAGGUUUGCUUUGAUA